AUUGAACGCUGGCGGAAUGCUUUACACAUGCAAGUCGAGCGGCAGCGCGGCCUUCGGGCUGGCGGCGAGCGGCGAACGGGUGAGUAAUGCAUCGGAACAUGCCCAGUCGUGGGGGAUAACACUUCGAAAGAAGUGCUAAUACCGCAUACGUCCUGAGGGGGAAAGCGGGGGAUCGCAAGACCUCGCGCGAUUGGAGUGGCCGAUGUCAGAUUAGCUAGUUGGUGGGGUAAAGGCCUACCAAGGCGACGAUCUGUAGCUGGUCUGAGAGGAUGAUCAGCCACACUGGGACUGAGACACGGCCCAGACUCCUACGGGAGGCAGCAGUGGGGAAUUUUGGACAAUGGGGGCAACCCUGAUCCAGCCAUUCCGCGUGAGUGAAGAAGGCCUUCGGGUUGUAAAGCUCUUUCGGCAGGAACGAAACGGUGGACUCUAACAUAGUCCGCUAAUGACGGUACCUGAAGAAGAAGCACCGGCUAACUACGUG
RNAcentral lists this ribosomal RNA (484 nucleotides) under uncultured bacterium. RNAcentral describes it as "partial 16S ribosomal RNA". It matches the Rfam family "Bacterial small subunit ribosomal RNA", at positions 30 to 507 of the family's 1533-position model. The record is from RNAcentral.